UUAACAGCUUUGUUUAAUUCGAGUAUCUUUACUACACCCGCGAGAGACGUCUGCACUGUAUCGCAUUACACGCUUCAUUGAUUUUUUUUAAAACAACACACGACGCUUGGAUUUGACUACCCACUUUAAGUCUUCAUAAAAGCAGGAAAAAAGGCGUAAAUUAAGAACAUUAGUCGAAGUGGUUAAACUGUUGAUACUAGCUCAUUUACUUUAAAAGUGGUCAGAGUCGUAUGCUUAAGAUAUUUUUUGCCUCUGGAAACUUUAAUCACGCUUUAGAUAUACUUGAGAAGAGAAGAUCUUUGUGAGCCGAAUUAACUUUAUAUAGCAGUGUGAUGACUCUUCCACCACUUAUGAUUUUACAAUUCUUAAUUAUCUUGUGCCUUGGGUAUGUAGAGGCAGUUCGACUGGACUACGACCCGGAUGUUAUAUUUCAACUUCAGGAACCUUCAGCAGUUGACGAUCUACCAGUUGACUUUGCAGACAAUCUUGCUGUAAAUCCGUCAAUGGACAGACCACUCAGGAUAGCCAACAAACCUAGUCUAAUCAAACUGUUAUUAGAAGAUCGGGACGAUUUAAUGAAUUACAUUCGGAACAAUCAGAAAGUUAAACGCACUAGACAGUGUUAUUGGUCAGCAGUGUCAUGUUUCUAAAAACAGACACGAUGUUAAAAGUUUAUUAAAAUAACAAUUGUCUAAAUUAAUGGUCAUUGUCUUUCUAUUUCCAUAUAUAAACGAUAGAAGCUACAACUAAAUUUGGGAACGUAUUAUCUAAUUUGACAACUUGUUUUUCAUUUAAAGUUUUUUUUCUCUUUUUUGUAUCAGUUUAUGUAAAAAAAAAGAAUUCUCCUCUA
Molecule: long non-coding RNA, 850 nt
Organism: Mytilus californianus (California mussel)
Lineage: Eukaryota; Metazoa; Mollusca; Bivalvia; Mytilida; Mytilidae
Exons: 2
Source: RefSeq, a predicted model, not a curated record